GUACGGGAGGCAGCAGUGGGGAAUCUUGCGCAAUGGGCGAAAGCCUGACGCAGCAACGCCGCGUGUGUGAUGAAGGUCUUCGGAUCGUAAAGCACUGUCGCGAGGGACGAAUAAGGGGCGGGCGAAUAUCCCGUUCCGAUGACGGUACCUCGAGAGGAAGCACCGGCUAACUCUGUGCCAGCAGCCGCGGUAAUACAGAGGGUGCAAGCGUUGUUCGGAAUUAUUGGGCGUAAAGCGCGUGUAGGCGGCUCAGCAAGUCAGGUGUGAAAGCCCUCGGCUUAACCGAGGAAGUGCGCCUGAAACUAUUGAGCUUGAGUGCCGGAGAGGGUGGCGGAAUUCCCGGUGUAGAGGUGAAAUUCGUAGAUAUCGGGAGGAACACCAGUGGCGAAGGCGGCCACCUGGACGGUAACUGACGCUGAGACGCGAAAGCGUGGGGAGCAAACAGGAUUAGAUACCCCGGUAGUCC
RNAcentral lists this ribosomal RNA (466 nucleotides) under uncultured bacterium. RNAcentral's name for it is "bacterial SSU rRNA". It matches the Rfam family "Bacterial small subunit ribosomal RNA", at positions 339 to 796 of the family's 1533-position model. The record is from RNAcentral.